UACGUAGGUGGCAAGCGUUGUCCGGAAUUAUUGGGCGUAAAGCGCGCGCAGGUGGUUUCUUAAGUCUGAUGUGAAAGCCCACGGCUCAACCGUGGAGGGUCAUUGGAAACUGGGGAACUUGAGUGCAGAAGAGGAAAGUGGAAUUCCACGUGUAGCGGUGAAAUGCGUAGAGAUGUGGAGGAACACCAGUGGCGAAGGCGACUUUCUGGUCUGUAACUGACACUGAGGCGCGAAAGCGUGGGUAGUGAACAGG
Molecule: ribosomal RNA, 253 nt
Filed under: uncultured bacterium
Lineage: Bacteria
Description: partial 16S ribosomal RNA
Rfam family: Bacterial small subunit ribosomal RNA
Source: RNAcentral